CUACGUGCCAGCAGCCGCGGUAAUACGUAUGUCACAAGCGUUAUCCGGAUUUAUUGGGCGUAAAGCGCGUCUAGGUGGUUAUGUAAGUCUGAUGUGAAAAUGCAGGGCUCAACUCUGUAUUGCGUUGGAAACUGCAUGACUAGAGUACUGGAGAGGUAAGCGGAACUACAAGUGUAGAGGUGAAAUUCGUAGAUAUUUGUAGGAAUGCCGAUGGGGAAGCCAGCUUACUGGACAGAUACUGACGCUAAAGCGCGAAAGCGUGGGUAGCAAACAGGAUUAGAUACCCUGGUAGUCCACGCCGUAAACGAUGAUUACUAGGUGUUGGGGGUCGAACCUCAGCGCCCAAGCUAACGCGAUAAGUAAUCCGCCUGGGGAGUACGGCCGCAAGGUUAAAACUCAAAUGAAUUGACGGGGGCCCGCACAAGCGGUGGAGCAUGUGGUUUAAUUCGAUGCAACGCGAAGAACCUUACCUACUCUU
Molecule: ribosomal RNA, 478 nt
Filed under: uncultured bacterium
Lineage: Bacteria
Description: bacterial SSU rRNA
Rfam family: Bacterial small subunit ribosomal RNA
Source: RNAcentral